AGAAUCAACGCUGGCGGCGUGCCUCAGACAUGCAAGUCGAACGCGAAAGUCCCCCUUCGGGAGACGAGUAGAGUGGCGCACGGGUGAGUAACACGUAGGUAAUCUACCUUUGGAUGGGGGAAUAAACAAUACGGAAACGGUUGCUAAUACCGCAUAAUGCAGCGGCACCUAAUGGUGACAGUUAGUUAAAGGCGGGGGAUCGAAAGACCUCGCGUCUGAAGGAGGAGCCUGCGGCGGAUUAGCUAGGUUGGUAAGGUAACGGCUUACCGAAGGCGACGUAUCCGUACGCCCGG
Molecule: ribosomal RNA, 293 nt
Filed under: uncultured soil bacterium
Lineage: Bacteria
Description: partial 16S ribosomal RNA
Rfam family: Bacterial small subunit ribosomal RNA
Source: RNAcentral